This 403-nucleotide unclassified non-coding RNA is filed under the name soil metagenome. RNAcentral describes it as "partial contains 5.8S ribosomal RNA, internal transcribed spacer 2, and large subunit ribosomal RNA". The stretch from base 1 to 122 matches the Rfam family "5.8S ribosomal RNA", at positions 35 to 154 of the family's 154-position model. The record is from RNAcentral.
GAUGAAGAACGCAGCAAAAUGCGAUACUUGGUGUGAAUUGCAGAAUCCCGUGAACCAUCGAGUUUUUGAACGCAAGUUGCGCCCGAAGCCUUUUGGCCGAGGGCACGUCUGCCUGGGCGUCACGCAUCGCGUCGCCCCCCACAAUUCUCCGUAAAGGGAACAUGUGUUUUGGGGGCGGAUAUUGGUCUCCCGUGCUCAUGGCGUGGUUGGCCGAAAUAGGAGUCCUUUCGAUGGACGCACGAACUAGUGGUGGUCGUAAAAACCCUCGUCUUUUGUUUCGUGCUGUUGCUCGCAAGGUAAACUCUUUAAAAACCCCAAUGUGUCGUCUCUUACGACGCUUCGACCGCGACCCCAGGUCAGGCGGGACUACCCGCUGAGUUUAAGCAUAUCAAUAAGCGGAGGA